AUGCAAGUCGAGCGGUAAGGCCCUUCGGGGUACACGAGCGGCGAACGGGUGAGUAACACGUGGGUGAUCUGCCUCGCACUCUGGGAUAAGCCUGGGAAACUGGGUCUAAUACCGGAUAUGACCAUUGAUCGCAUGGUUGAUGGUGGAAAGAUUUAUCGGUGCGAGAUGGGCCCGCGGCCUAUCAGCUUGUUGGUGGGGUAAUGGCCUACCAAGGCGACGACGGGUAGCCGGCCUGAGAGGGCGACCGGCCACACUGGGACUGAGACACGGCCCAGACUCCUACGGGAGGCAGCAGUGGGGAAUAUUGCACAAUGGGCGAAAGCCUGAUGCAGCGACGCCGCGUGAGGGAUGACGGCCUUCGGGUUGUAAACCUCUUUCGACAGGGACGAAGCGCAAGUGACGGUACCUGUAGAAGAAGCACCGGCCAACUACGUGCCAGCAGCCGCGGUAAUACGUAGGGUGCGAGCGUUGUCCGGAAUUACUGGGCGUAAAGAGCUUGUAGGCGGUUCGUCGCGUCGAUCGUGAAAACUUGCAGCUCAACUGCGAGCUUGCGGUCGAUACGGGCGGACUAGAGUACUGCAGGGGAGACUGGAAUUCCUGGUGUAGCGGUGAAAUGCGCAGAUAUCAGGAGGAACACCGGUGGCGAAGGCGGGUCUCUGGGCAGUAACUGACGCUGAGAAGCGAAAGCGUGGGUAGCGAACAGGAUUAGAUACCCUGGUAGUCCACGCCGUAAACGGUGGGUACUAGGUGUGGGUUUCCUUCCACGGGAUCCGUGCCGUAGCUAACGCAUUAAGUACCCCGCCUGGGGAGUACGGCCGCAAGGCUAAAACUCAAAGGAAUUGACGGGGGCCCGCACAAGCGGCGGAGCAUGUGGAUUAAUUCGAUGCAACGCGAAGAACCUUACCUGGGUUUGACAUACACCAGAAAGCUGCAGAGAUGUAGCCCCCCUUGUGGUUGGUGUACAGGUGGUGCAUGGCUGUCGUCAGCUCGUGUCGUGAGAUGUUGGGUUAAGUCCCGCAACGAGCGCAACCCUUAUCUUAUGUUGCCAGCGCGUAAUGGCGGGGACUCGUGAGAGACUGCCGGGGUCAACUCGGAGGAAGGUGGGGACGACGUCAAGUCAUCAUGCCCCUUAUGUCCAGGGCUUCACACAUGCUACAAUGGCCGGUACAGAGGGCUGCGAUACCGUGAGGUGGAGCGAAUCCCUUAAAGCCGGUCUCAGUUCGGAUCGGGGUCUGCAACUCGACCCCGUGAAGUUGGAGUCGCUAGUAAUCGCAGAUCAGCAACGCUGCGGUGAAUACGUUCCCGGGCCUUGUACACACCGCCCGUCACGUCAUGAAAGUCGGUAACACCCGAAGCCGGUGGCCUAACCC
RNAcentral lists this ribosomal RNA (1370 nucleotides) under Nocardia sp. RNAcentral describes it as "bacterial SSU rRNA". It matches the Rfam family "Bacterial small subunit ribosomal RNA". Lineage: Bacteria; Bacillati; Actinomycetota; Actinomycetes; Mycobacteriales; Nocardiaceae. The record is from RNAcentral.